This 362-nucleotide ribosomal RNA is filed under the name Littoraria undulata. RNAcentral's name for it is "partial 12S ribosomal RNA". The record is from RNAcentral. Lineage: Eukaryota; Metazoa; Mollusca; Gastropoda; Littorinimorpha; Littorinidae.
UUAGAUAUAAACUGGCCCUUAUCCUACCAGAGUACUACGAACAUUAAGUUUAAAACUCAAAGAGCUUGGCGGUGCUUUAGACUCCUCAGGGGAACCUGUCUCGUAAUCGACAGUCCACGAACCAACCUCACCCUUUCUUGCACCCAGUAUGUAUACCGUCGUCGUCAGGUAACUUUUAAAAAUAUAGAAGUUAGCAACCAAAUCCAUCAAUUUUCACGUCAGAUCAAGGUGCAGCCUAUGAAAAGGAGCAGAUGGGUUACAAUUAAGAUUCAUAAUUACGGAUUUAAUUCCUAACAGAUUUCUGAAGGCGGACUUGAAAGUAAAGCCCAGUAGCUAAAUGCCUUGAAUCCAGCUCUGAAGCG